Molecule: long non-coding RNA, 1482 nt
Organism: Sciurus carolinensis (gray squirrel)
Lineage: Eukaryota; Metazoa; Chordata; Mammalia; Rodentia; Sciuridae
Exons: 3
Source: RefSeq, a predicted model, not a curated record
GGGGCUGAGUGCUGGGCUUUGUUGCUUCCUCCGCACUCAGACCUCCCAGAUCGUUAGAUGUCUUCCCGGGGCUCCUUCCUGCACGGUCUGGGAAAUCACUUAUAUUUGCUCAGGGAGUUGACUCGCCAAAUCCUGCCGCUUACGUCAUCCCAUCGAAUCUUUAACUCCUUUUUGCAGACGAGGACACAGCUCGACAGCAGGUCCUGAAGAAUCUGCAGGAAACAUUUACAAACCAUCGCUUUAGGCCAUACCUGUGAGGAGCAAAAGAGCCCGCUGGGUCUCCUGACCAACCAGCACAAUCUGUUUGAAGCUCAUGGAGUGGUGGAACGUCAUCUUGAAGACCCGCUGCCCACUGGACUGCAGAUAGACCUCCACACAGUCACAGGCCCGGCUGCUGGUUGUGCCUACCACUCCUGGCUGCUCCCGAGUGGCCAAGACGUAGAGGGCCGGACCCCAGAACCCUGCUCUCGAAGGCGUGGACUGAGUCUGCGGCAGAUGCGUCUCCACACGCCCUCAGCAUCGCACACUUCGUGGAAGUAGUGGCAGGUCUGACCUAGGGCGAUGACAUCUCUUACUGGGAGGAAUGAGAUGAUAUGCUCCACCUGGAGGCAGAAGCGGGGAAGUGGAGGUCAUUGGGAGCCAGCCCCUCAGUGGUCUGGCCCCCAGUCCUGCAUUCUCAGUCCUUCAACUCCAAAGACUCACCAGCUCUGGGGGAAACAAUUGAACAGAAAUAGGGUUUCCUCUUCCCUUCUUCUCUUGGCCCCCAGGCUCUGGGCCACAGGAAGGACAGCUCCGCUUCACCUGCAGAGUGAAAGGGGGAGUGUGGGGGUCCUGUGAGAGUCCCACCUCUUUUGCUCACUGCUCUUGACCUGUCUUGCUCUGUACUGUCAAAUCCUCCCGUCUCUCUCCAGGUCCAUGGGCCAACCCUCCCUGUCUGCCUUGCUCCUCAACAUAACCCAUCCCCAGAUCUCUUGCUGCCAUCAUCUCCCUGCCCUUCCCUUGCUUUGCCACCCCCCUCACCCUGAGCCCCUCCUCCCGUCCGCACAGCCCGGUCCAUUUUUGCAGCUUUUGUCUCCGGCUUCUCCUCACCAUCCUGCCUGUCCCCUCCCUGCUCCUGCCCUCAUCUCUCCGGGCCCCUUGGCCCCCCGUACUCAGCUCCCUGGCCCCUGUCCUGGCUGUCUUUCCCACACCAUGUCCCCUGCCUGGGCUUGGGGGACCUCUGGGGCCCCUCUACCUCCUAGGCCCCUCCCCCAUGGAGUCUAGGACAAACAAACCUCUCUGUGACCUCACUGUCCAGCCACUGUGACCUAUUCUCCUAAAUCUGGUUGGAGACCUGGCUCCUGGGUUCCAGCUCAGCUCUAGCUACUGAACUGCUCAUGGGAGAUGCAUUUUACUAGAGAAAUAAAGUGUGAACUACUGGUAGAUGAGGCCUUGACUUUCAGGGAAUAGUAGGAGAUUUUCCCACUUGACACCCUUUCAGCA